This 685-nucleotide ribosomal RNA is filed under the name uncultured bacterium. RNAcentral's name for it is "bacterial SSU rRNA". It matches the Rfam family "Bacterial small subunit ribosomal RNA", at positions 32 to 715 of the family's 1533-position model. The record is from RNAcentral.
AACGCUAGCUACAGGCUUAACACAUGCAAGUCGAGGGGUAGCAGGGUAGCAAUACCGCUGACGACCGGCGCACGGGUGAGUAACACGUAUCCAACCUGCCAUUCACACGGGGAUAGCCUUUCGAAAGAAAGAUUAAUACCCGAUGGUAUAGCGAGAGGGCAUCCUUUUGCUAUUAAAGAAUUUCGGUGUUUGAUGGGGAUGCGUUCCAUUAGAUUGUUGGUGAGGUAACGGCUCACCAAGUCUUCGAUGGAUAGGGGUUCUGAGAGGAAGGUCCCCCACAUUGGAACUGAGACACGGUCCAAACUCCUACGGGAGGCAGCAGUGAGGAAUAUUGGUCAAUGGACGGGAGUCUGAACCAGCCAAGUAGCGUGAAGGAUGAAGGCCCUAUGGGUCGUAAACUUCUUUUAUAGGGGAAUAAAGUUCGGAACGUGUUCCGUUUUGUAUGUACCCUACGAAUAAGGAUCGGCUAACUCCGUGCCAGCAGCCGCGGUAAUACGGAGGAUCCGAGCGUUAUCCGGAUUUAUUGGGUUUAAAGGGAGCGUAGGUGGAUGUAUAAGUCAGUUGUGAAAGUUUGCGGCUCAACCGUAAAAUUGCAGUUGAUACUGGAGACCUUGAGUGCGGUAAAGGUAGGCGGAAUUCGUGGUGUAGCGGUGAAAUGCUUAGAUAUCACGAAGAACUCCGAUUG